GAUGAACGCUGGCGGCGUGCUUAACACAUGCAAGUCGAACGGAAAGGCUCCUGCUUGCAGGGGUACUCGAGUGGCGAACGGGUGAGUAACACGUGGGUGAUCUGCCCUGCACUUCGGGAUAAGCCUGGGAAACUGGGUCUAAUACCGGAUAGGACCACAUUUUGGAUGGUGUGGUGGAAAGUUUUUCGGUGAGGGAUGAGCUCGCGGCCUAUCAGCUUGUUGGUGGGGUAAUGGCCUACCAAGGCGUCGACGGGUAGCCGGCCUGAGAGGGUGUACGGCCACAUUGGGACUGAGAUACGGCCCAGACUCCUACGGGAGGCAGCAGUGGGGAAUAUUGCACAAUGGGCGCAAGCCUGAUGCAGCGACGCCGCGUGGGGGAUGACGGCCUUCGGGUUGUAAACUCCUUUCGCUAGGGACGAAGCGCAAGUGACGGUACCUGGAGAAGAAGCACCGGCUAACUACGUG
RNAcentral lists this ribosomal RNA (465 nucleotides) under uncultured bacterium. RNAcentral describes it as "partial 16S ribosomal RNA". It matches the Rfam family "Bacterial small subunit ribosomal RNA", at positions 28 to 507 of the family's 1533-position model. The record is from RNAcentral.